Molecule: non-coding RNA, 584 nt
Organism: Pantherophis guttatus
Lineage: Eukaryota; Metazoa; Chordata; Lepidosauria; Squamata; Colubridae
Source: RefSeq, a predicted model, not a curated record
CGAUCUCUUCUUCCGGACUCAGGGUGAGCUCGCGCUUCGCUGGUUGCCAAGUAACGGGAGGAAAGCGCGCGCUGGAGAGGAAGAGGGUGCAGCGUUUUGGCAGCCGUGGCUUCCAGUUGCCUUUGGCGAAGUCUUCUCUUCAUGCCGGCUCUUCUCUUCUCGAAAGACUUCCUGUCAAAAUGACAACCAGCUCUCAACCUGGUCAUUUAUGAAGAGGAAAUAAAAGAUACAGAUUGGAGACAGAUUAUCCUGCAGAAAAUCUAAGUAGUUACCAAGAGCUAAUACAAGAUGGCACAUAAUCAAAUGACAGAAGAAGUAAACUGAUCUUUAUUUGUAAAGAUCAGCUUUGACUCAACACUUACCUGGAACAAAAGGCUAUAACCAUUCUAGAACUAUACCAGGCAGCUAUAUGGAUUCAUCUGUCCACACUUAUCCACCUGAUUCAGAUGAAAAGCUUGCAAGCCAUCAAUAUGUGACUUGCAGAGAUCAUAACAAAAAACUGAAUUAAGUGCAUACUGUUAUAGAUGACUGUCUUUCUCUCUGAAAUGCAUCUCUGGUCUGUGAAAAGCAUCUUAUAUGUUGAA